This 608-nucleotide ribosomal RNA is filed under the name Adelie penguin guano bacterium 246. RNAcentral describes it as "bacterial SSU rRNA". It matches the Rfam family "Bacterial small subunit ribosomal RNA", at positions 93 to 686 of the family's 1533-position model. The record is from RNAcentral.
GAGCGGCGGACGGGUGAGUAAUACUUAGGAAUCUACCUAGUAGUGGGGGAUAGCUCGGGGAAACUCGAAUUAAUACCGCAUACGACCUACGGGAGAAAGGGGGCAACUUGUUGCUCUCGCUAUUAGAUGAGCCUAAGUCGGAUUAGCUAGAUGGUGGGGUAAAGGCCUACCAUGGCGACGAUCUGUAGCUGGUCUGAGAGGAUGAUCAGCCACACCGGGACUGAGACACGGCCCGGACUCCUACGGGAGGCAGCAGUGGGGAAUAUUGGACAAUGGGGGAAACCCUGAUCCAGCCAUGCCGCGUGUGUGAAGAAGGCCUUUUGGUUGUAAAGCACUUUAAGCAGUGAAGAAGACUCCGUGGUUAAUACCCACGGACGAUGACAUUAGCUGCAGAAUAAGCACCGGCUAACUCUGUGCCAGCAGCCGCGGUAAUACAGAGGGUGCAAGCGUUAAUCGGAAUUACUGGGCGUAAAGCGAGCGUAGGUGGCUUUGAUAAAGUCAGAUGUUGAAUCCCCGGGCUUAACCUGGGAACUGCAUCUGAUUACUUGUUAAGGCUAAGAAUAAGGUUGAAGAAGGAAAGGUAGAAAUUCCCCGGUGUAACGGUGAAA